Molecule: long non-coding RNA, 963 nt
Filed under: Lupinus mutabilis
Lineage: Eukaryota; Viridiplantae; Streptophyta; Magnoliopsida; Fabales; Fabaceae
Description: partial ncRNA
Source: RNAcentral
GUUGAGGCUAAUAAAGUUGCAUUAAUAAAAACAUGGGAAUAAUGUGGGAACAUGUGUAUCGAGUCUUAAAUAACAACUUCACUUGGUAGUGGCCCCCACGUUCACGCCUUGCUGUCUCUCCCACCCCAUUGAAGAAGAGCUUCAUCAACAUCAUCAAAUCAAAACAAAACAAAACAAAACAAAACAAAACACCCAAAUAAAGUUGUAUUGAACAAAACCACUUUAUGUUAUGUCUAUGUAUUCUUAUAUUCACAUUACAUAAAAAUAUAACAAAGCCAUGGCUGCAACUAACAAGAGACGCCACGUCAGCACAAGGUUGAGGUUGAACUGGAAGCUCUUCAUUCUCUUCUUCUCUGCUUCCCUCUCAUGCGUCGUCGUUUUGGUAUCUCUCUUUAGGCUUCAUUAUAAUUAUAAUUAUGGCAAUGUCUCGUCUCGGGUGAUGAGAUCUUCAAUUUCUCGUGUCUUCAAUGGCCCUUCCAAGAUCGCAUUUUUGUUCCUUGUUCGACGUAACAUUCCUCUUGAUUUUCUAUGGGGAUCUUUCUUCCAAAACGGUGCCGUUCAGAAUUUCUCCAUUUAUGUUCAUUCCACACCUGGGUUCGUUUUCGAUGACUCAACUACCAGGUCCCAUUUUUUCAAAGCUCGACAAAUCACUAAUAGUGUUCAGGUUUUAUGGGGAGAAUCAACUAUGAUUCAGGCUGAAAAGUUGUUACUAGAAGCAGCUUUAGAGGACCCUGCAAAUCAAAGAUUUGUCCUUCUUUCGGACAGUUGUGUUCCUCUGUACAACUUUUCCUACGUGUACGAUUAUGUCAUGGCUUCUCCGAGGAGUUUCGUGGACAGGUAGAAGAAGGCUAUGAUUCUUGAGGUGCUUAGCACAAAGUCUUUUUUGACUGUUAAAUUAUAAGUAGUCCAUAUUUACAAUCUGUUCAUUGGAGUGAAAUGGAGGGUGUUGGUUUAAACUUUAAG